RNAcentral lists this ribosomal RNA (468 nucleotides) under uncultured bacterium. RNAcentral's name for it is "partial 16S ribosomal RNA". It matches the Rfam family "Bacterial small subunit ribosomal RNA", at positions 28 to 507 of the family's 1533-position model. The record is from RNAcentral.
GACGAACGCUGGCGGCGUGCUUAACACAUGCAAGUCGAACGGAAAGGCCCUGCUUUUGUGGGGUGCUCGAGUGGCGAACGGGUGAGUAACACGUGAGUAACCUGCCCUUGACUUUGGGAUAACUUCAGGAAACUGGGGCUAAUACCGGAUAGGAGCUCCCGCUGCAUGGUGGGGGUUGGAAAGUUUCGGCGGUUGGGGAUGGACUCGCGGCUUAUCAGCUUGUUGGUGGGGUAGUGGCUUACCAAGGCUUUGACGGGUAGCCGGCCUGAGAGGGUGACCGGCCACAUUGGGACUGAGAUACGGCCCAGACUCCUACGGGAGGCAGCAGUGGGGAAUAUUGCACAGUGGGCGGAAGCCUGAUGCAGCAACGCCGCGUGCGGGAUGACGGCCUUUGGGUUGUAAACCGCAUUCGCCUGUGACGAAGCGUGAGUGACGGUAAUGGGUAAAGAAGCACCGGCUAACUACGUG